UUUUGUUUCACUGAAACUCUGAAUUUAUAACCUGGUUUUUGUGGACCUGUGGGCUCAAAUGAGAGAGGCUCAAGUCCAAUUUUUUUUUUGUUAUAUUUUAUUUAUUUAUUUUAUUUUAUUAUUAUUUUUUUCGUUUUUUUUUUCGUUUUUCUUCUUUUUUUUCUUUAUUUUUUCUUUAUUUUUUUUUCGUUUUUCUUGUUUCGUUUUUCUUCUUUUUUUUUUUU
RNAcentral lists this long non-coding RNA (224 nucleotides) under Lathyrus oleraceus (garden pea). RNAcentral describes it as "Pisum sativum (pea) long non-coding RNA (PSAT_LNC024424)". Lineage: Eukaryota; Viridiplantae; Streptophyta; Magnoliopsida; Fabales; Fabaceae. The record is from RNAcentral.